Long non-coding RNA from Drosophila miranda, 630 nucleotides. RefSeq lists it as uncharacterized. NCBI's taxonomy places the organism in Eukaryota, Metazoa, Arthropoda, Insecta, Diptera, Drosophilidae. The transcript is spliced from 3 exons. The record is from RefSeq and is a predicted model, not a curated record.
AGUGGUCUCCCAAUUCUAGCUGCAGAAUUUAUUUGCCAUUUUGUUCUAUAAAAGGCAGUCUCAGCUAAAGGCCUUUUCAUUGAGUAAAAGAGGAGCCUAAUAAUGAGUAUCCUUAAGAACCUCUUCAUUCUUUUGGUGGACGUUUCGGUCGUGAAUACCUUGGUAACUUACCAUGAUGCCAGAGAUAGGAUUGAAACCCUCAGGAUAAACAGGGAAUGGAUUUAUACGGAUUAUUAUUCUAAUCGAGGAUAUUGGAGAACUUGGACUGAUAAAUCGUAUGACUAUUCUUCAGAUAGAACAAUAUGCCAUUAUGAAGAUAAAAACCUAGCUCCUAAUGGCACUGUAGCGGUGGGUUUUACGAUGAAGCCGAGAGCUUAUUGUGGAAUUCUUACUUGUAUUUUAUAUAACAAUAGGCCAACAGCUCAGCCUAUUUAUCUCAUCCUUCCAGCUGCCAAGAGCCAGCCACUUUCGCUGAGUGCGAAACUGAUGGCAUAGAUACGGAGAUGAAAUACCCCGAAUGCUGCUGGAAAUCGACCGUAAUUAUAUCAUAUCAUAAUGAGUGCUGUUACACUUGGCUUGUUUCCCAGAGGGCAUUGCCGGCUAGCUGUCGACCCCAGGGCUGGGUAGUUC